This is a small nuclear RNA of Zalophus californianus (California sea lion), 107 nucleotides long. The record is from Ensembl. NCBI's taxonomy places the organism in Eukaryota, Metazoa, Chordata, Mammalia, Carnivora, Otariidae.
GUGUUCUCUUCAGCAGCACACACGCUAACAUUGGAAUGAGACAGAGAAGAAUAGCAUGGCCCCUGCAUAAGAAUGUCACACAAAUUCAUGAAAUGUUCCACAUUUUA